This is a small nucleolar RNA of Malania oleifera, 102 nucleotides long. The record is from RefSeq and is a predicted model, not a curated record. NCBI's taxonomy places the organism in Eukaryota, Viridiplantae, Streptophyta, Magnoliopsida, Santalales, Ximeniaceae.
CUUAAGAAUGCGUGCCUGCUGUAAAUAUGGACAAAUAGAAACAGUAGGUUUUAAUUGGGCAUCUGAUGAGCGUAGGGUGCCCAUAAUUACCUACAUAUAUUA